GGAGAGGUGGCCGAGUAGGUUGAAGGCGGUCGCCUGCUAAGCGAUUGUACAGUCUAAAGCUGUACCCCGGGUUCGAAUCCCGGCCUCUCCGCCA
RNAcentral lists this transfer RNA (94 nucleotides) under Bacillota bacterium. RNAcentral describes it as "Firmicutes bacterium (anaerobic digester metagenome) tRNA-Ser". It matches the Rfam family "tRNA". From Rfam's summary of the family: Transfer RNA (tRNA) molecules are approximately 80 nucleotides in length. Their secondary structure includes four short double-helical elements and three loops (D, anti-codon, and T loops). The record is from RNAcentral. Lineage: Bacteria; Bacillati; Bacillota.